Molecule: ribosomal RNA, 233 nt
Filed under: uncultured bacterium
Lineage: Bacteria
Description: partial 16S ribosomal RNA
Rfam family: Bacterial small subunit ribosomal RNA
Source: RNAcentral
CAAACGGGUGAGUAACACGUGGGCAAUCUGACUAGAAGUGGGGAAUAACGAACCGAAAGGUUCGCUAAUACCGCAUGGUCUUGCGAAAGUAAAGGGCGGUUCGAGAGAACCGGUCGCUUUUAGAGGAGCCUGCGAUCGAUCAGGUAGUUGGUGAGGUAACGGCUCACCAAGCCGACGACCGAUAGCUGAUCUGAGAGGAUGACCAGCCACACUGGGACUGCGAAACGGCCCAG